GCUAAAAGCAUGAGUUGGUGCUUGAUGUGUGUUUAUAUAUGUUAAGAGUUGUUUUUUUGUAAACCUUGGGAUGACAUUUAUUGUGGUCUUUGAUCUUGCACCAGGCCUAGACCAUAAAACAUCUAGAUAGCCAUCACCAGAGCUGGACACAAGGAAUUUCAUAGAGUGGGCAAUAGACUGCCAGACCAGCCCCCUCUGAUCCCCCCCAGGGGUCUGCCCACUGAGAAACAACUAGUUUAGAUAUAUGAGGGUGUUGGACUAUCCAGGGAAGUCAGUUAUUCAUUUUUCUUUUGUCAGUAACUUCUAGGAGACCUAUACCAUCUAAGACUCCCACAAGAAUUCUAUAUGGGGUAAAUAUAUGUAAGGAAUUUCUUGUGUUUUCUCCUAUUUUAUUUUAUGUACUGUUUUGCAAUUUGUUUUCUG
Non-coding RNA from Pelobates cultripes (western spadefoot toad), 423 nucleotides. The record is from the annotation of a GenBank genome assembly. Lineage: Eukaryota; Metazoa; Chordata; Amphibia; Anura; Pelobatidae.